Molecule: ribosomal RNA, 253 nt
Filed under: uncultured bacterium
Lineage: Bacteria
Description: partial 16S ribosomal RNA
Rfam family: Bacterial small subunit ribosomal RNA
Source: RNAcentral
UACAGAGGUCUCAAGCGUUGUUCGGAUUCAUUGGGCGUAAAGGGUGCGUAGGCGGCGCGGUAAGUCGGGUGUGAAAUCUCGGAGCUUAACUCCGAAACUGCAUUGGAUACUGCCGUGCUUGAGGACUGGAGAGGAGACUGGAAUUUACGGUGUAGCGGUGAAAUGCGUAGAUAUCGUAAGGAAGACCAGUGGCGAAGGCGGGUCUCUGGACAGUUCCUGACGCUGAGGCACGAAGGCCAGGGGAGCAAACGGG